GGCAUGAAGUACAUAUUGGUGUCAGCACUAAAUUGCUUCGAAGUUAUAUCAUGCAUAGCUAGAUCAAGCAAAAAUAUAAUGAGCUUUAGCUCAUUUGUUUUAACAGCAUGGAAAUUCUCUAAAUUUAACCCUUUAAGUGGCAAUGUACCCAGAUGCACCCUACUUUAUUAUUUUACUCUGUCUAUUACAGUAAUGCCAGAUGAUUUUACUCGUAGCACUGUGCACAAUACAAUAGUACCUUCAUAAGAAAUGUUCAAUAUGUUCUCGCAAAAUGAUCAAUAUUUUGCA
Paramuricea clavata is the source of this 288-nucleotide non-coding RNA. The record is from the annotation of a GenBank genome assembly. Lineage: Eukaryota; Metazoa; Cnidaria; Anthozoa; Malacalcyonacea; Plexauridae.